Molecule: ribosomal RNA, 301 nt
Filed under: uncultured bacterium
Lineage: Bacteria
Description: partial 16S ribosomal RNA
Rfam family: Bacterial small subunit ribosomal RNA
Source: RNAcentral
CAGUCGCCACGGUAAUACGAAGGGUGCAAGCGUUAAUCGGAAUUACUGGGCGUAAAGCGUGCGUAGGCGGUGAGUUAAGUCUGCUGUGAAAUCCCCGGGCUCGACCUGGGAAUGGCAGUGGAUACUGGCUCGCUAGAGUGUGUCAGAGGAUGGUGGAAUUCCCGGUGUAGCGGUGAAAUGCGUAGAGAUCGGGAGGAACAUCAGUGGCGAAGGCGGCCAUCUGGGACAACACUGACGCUGAGGCACGAAAGCGUGGGGAGCAAACAGGAUUAGAUACCCCCGUAGUCCCUGUCUCUUAUAC